ACACGACAAUUUCUUUCACACACAUUUCACUUUAUCACGAGUAAAAUGUAUCAGCGUGCUGAAAUCUGCUUGCCAAGAAAGAAGAAGGUCCGCGAGUCUUUCCACUCAAACACAUACAGGAUAUUUGAUGAGAAGAUACCUGACAGAUUGGACCCUGAUAAAGUCUAUAAAGUCCAUUCAUAUGCUCAGAGAGAUCCAAAGGAAUAUGAUCAGCUUAAAAUACACAAUACCCCACAAAUGUACAAUGCCAAGUUCAUAAGAACCAAUGUCAGGUUCAUGAAUGCACCCAUUUCUCACAUGGAGACAGAGAGUACAAUGGCUGAGCAGACUUAUAACAGUGUCACUGGUGGCACAAUACAUCGUAUCACGAUGUGAGCACCCAGGCACCUUACAGAAAGGACAGCACUCAGAGACAAGACUACCAGGCCAUUCAACAAACGCACGCCCUGGUCAGACAUGGGAGGAACAACAACAGAGUGCCUGCUUCAGGAAUCGUUCCCAUGCUGAGCUCUAUUGGUAGCCCAAAAGUGUUGCUGGAGCACAUGUCUUUCAUUCACCAAUAUGAUUCAAGGAAAUUACAGGACCAACCAUACCAAGGGAUGCGACACGGAGCUUUAGUGUGGAGCGAGGCUGGGCCAUGGUCUCCUGAUGGGGAGAGCACAUACCUCAACGCCGAGGGGUCAUGUUCACCAGCGGUGCGGGGAAGAAGAGGGCGGGAAGAGGUAACCUCUCCCCAGCAGCAAGUUUUCAAUGAUGGCAGGAUCCACUCAGGGAAUGCGGGCCCCAGAGCUAAAGGCACCAAGGCCAUCUCCCGCCCCUCACCGACCCAUCCCUCCAGCCAACUGUUUCACAGCUUCUACACUCCCAUGACACGUAGGGGAGGGGUUGAGGGAGGGUUUGAGGGGAUCUCCUCAGUCUCUGACAGGGCUGCGGAGGGUCGGAGACCUAUGCAUGCAGACGGCGAGGGGACUGUCUUGCAAAGGCAGGGAUCCAACAGUCAACAGGUGGCGGUUCAAGCCCCAGCCCAAAUUGCAGGCUCAGAGCCUAACAACUGAUGGCAGAUCUGAGUAGAAAUCGGUUGCAAUUGUGUUACAUUUUUUGGUCAGAAGUCAUCUAAAGAUAAAGAUUAAAAUAAUAAAAGGUUCAACCUGCAAAAGUAACUGCUGUUAAAUGGUAUUUUCAAUUAAAGAAAAAUACAGUAUACGUUAUGUACAACUGUCAUACCCAGUUCUAAACCCAAAUCAGGGCCGGCGCUAAC
Non-coding RNA from Salvelinus sp. IW2-2015, 1258 nucleotides. Lineage: Eukaryota; Metazoa; Chordata; Actinopteri; Salmoniformes; Salmonidae. The record is from RefSeq and is a predicted model, not a curated record.